GUAUUAGGAACAAGAAAAAAGUUUAUUGUAAACGCUGCAGUACUGGGUCAACAAUUUUACCAAGCUAAAUUAACUUGGCUCCUUCAGAUCAUCAUUAAUUGCUAAGAGUCAAUCUGGUAGUGUUCUUGAAUGCUGUUCUAAGAAUAAAUGAAGUCAUCAGAGUCAAUUUAGGCAGUGGAGUUACUGAGUGUUUGGGAUUGAUGUUAGAUUAGAUGUGGGCCAGUCAUCAGAAGCUCAAUCCAAAUAAGACAGAGGUUUUAUUGGUAGGUGGGUCAUGUAACCAGAGGGGAGGUGUUCAGUAUGUUCUGGAUAGGGGUUUUGAUUUCCUUUUUCUGCAGAGGGGCAUCCUGAUAGACCAUUUAUUUUCCAUAGGAGGACUGCCAUCAAGCUGUUAUAGCUCCAUCUAUCGUCCGAAGGCAAGAAUGUUUUUGAAGUCAAGACUAGGGGCAUUAGGCCCCUCCCACUCUCCAGUUCAUUCUUGCCUUCGUCUGUGCAAGUUGGAUAUAUAGCUAGCGUCUAGGUAAGUUUUUGUGUAUUUGUGUGACAGGGUGUGGAGGUUUUGUGUGUGUAUUCCACGUUAUUUCCUUCCCUCUGUCUUUUACUUUAGAGUCUGUGGGACUGACUGUACUUUGUUUGUCUUUAUACUUAAGGGGGAUCCCCUUUUUGUCUAUUUUUUUCCCUUAGUCCCUAGCUAUUUACUGGGAGACCGCGGCUGCGGUUCUCCCUUCCUAAGGUGGCGGACGCAGCCUUGUUACGGGAGCUUGCGGCUGCAGCUCCCUGCCUAGCCGAAUGGCGAUUCUGGGAGACCGCGGCUGCGGUUCUUCCUUCCUCAGCCGGCGGAUGCAGACUUAAUCCAGGAGCUUGCGGCUGCAGCUCUCUGCGUUGCGCCGCCGCUCUUUUUUCAACUCGCUGCCUAUUUUCGCGGCAGCUCCCUUAGUUUUUUCUCCAGAGCCUGCGGCUGCGGCUCUUUCUACUUUCAGUGUCCCUUUCUGGUUGGGCUGCCCCGCCUCCCCCGGCUCGUUCUGCGGCAUUUUAAAUCUCGCCGCGACUGCCUUCGGAGCCUGCAGCUGCGGCUCCUUAUUCCCCUCGCUUGCUGAGUCUGUCCUGCGGCUGUAGAGAUCUGGCUCGCUCUCUAAGCCGUGAUAGCGCUUCUCAGCCCCGCGGCUCCAGAGUGUUUUUUGAGGCUGUUUUUUGAGCUCGCUGGUGCUCCCCUGUGACCGCCAUUGCUUCUUCAUUGCCCCAAGCCUUUCUGAUUGGCCAAUUUUCCCGCUCUUUUCGCGGGCACCAUUUUGUUCCUCCCCCUUUUCCCCCGCCCUUUCUGUUUGUCCUUUCCAUAGUAAAGGAUUCUGUUCUAGGCCUUUUCUGUCAGUUUCUGCCUUUUCUGUCAGUUUCUGUGUGUAUGCUGCAGAGCAGAACCUCUAUAAAAGAGAGGCAAGAUGGCGACGGGAGAGGAUGCUCAGUAAGGAGCUCCGCGUUUCAUCCUUAAAAUACUUUAAUGCCAUCGAUACCAUCAUUGCCAUCUGCCUACCUGUCUGCCUGUUAUUACGGGCUGGUUGUUAGCUGUAUACCUGAGGCUGUUGUUGCUGUCGUCGCCCGUUGCUGUCGCUGUCGUCGUGAGCUUGCUUUGCACCAUCGUUGCGUCGGGACUGCUCCUUGGGGUGUUACUGGGCUGUUGCUUUUUGUUGUUGGCGCUUGCCGUUCGUCUGCUGCUGUGGGUCGUGUUGCCCGGGGCGUCGUCGUUGCGGCGGGCCCGUCUGUGUGCGGGUGUCGUGGCCGCCGCUUCUGCCACCCGAGAUAUCAUCACGGCGGCUUGUGCUGCCGCCGCCGUUGCCACCUCUACCGUCGCCGCUGCGAUUUCUGUGCCGCUGGUUGCUCACCGCAGGCUGCGGUGAGCACCGGCCUGCCGCCAGUGGUGAGAGCACUGGCGAGGCGGCCGGACUCGGCGCGUUGUGGGUGGAGUUCGGGGCGUCGCGGCGAGCCUGGAUCCUGUGAUGGUGAGAGCAUCGUGGAAGGGGACCAGGCUCACGACGUGGAGGACAUCGUGUGAAGCGGCACGGAUGGUGGAAAGAGACUAGGCUUGAACAAUACAGAUGCCCGAGGGAACGCCCAGGAGCCGCAUAGCAACUCGUCGGUGGUAAGAGCGCUGACGAGGUUGAUUAGGCUUUGGGCGCAGCCCGGUGCGGAGUGGCGGCGACGGGAGAACGCCGCACCGAGCGGCCAAGUGUGGGGCUCUGUUGGAGACAUCCUGGCUGGGUGGUGGUGAGAGCACCGCAGGAGGAGGCCAGGUUAUUGUCGUGGCCUGGCUGGCGGCGGCGGCGGAGGGAGGAGAAUGCGGCACAGGACACUUUCCAGUACUGUUGAGGACAUCUUUUGUAGACAUGGCUUGUUAUGGAGGAGGGUUUUAACGUUGGUUGUUAUUACUGUUGAUUGGUUGUAUGUUAGUCUGUUGUUUGUUUGUUGUUGGUUGUUGUGUGAAUGAGACUGAGUGGAUGUGUGUGUGUAUUUUUGGGUUUUGUGUUUGUUUUAAAUGUUUGCUGUGUUUAUACUUAUUUUAAGAUGUGCCUGGGAGAACGUACUUCGGGUUUAGCAAGUGGACUUUCGGGGGCCCCAAUUAACGUAGUGACGGGUAAUGGGAGGUAUGGUGUUGGGAGGAGAACAUGCCAGGUAAGGGGAACUCGUCCCAGACAAAUUGUGUCUGUGCCCUGUUCCGGUUCUCCUCAUACCCACAGGACUGUUGGUUGUACUAUCAGCCAGCUCUCGGAUCUCCAGGUGCUGCUUUUAAAUGCAAGGUCGGCCGUUAAUGAAACUCCCCUUAUCCACGAUUUGAUUGUGGAGAAGGGUGCCGAUCUUGCAUGCAUUACCGAGACCUGGGUGAGCGAGCAGGGAGGAGUUGCUCUUUCCCAGCUUUGCCCACCUGGGUAUUCGGUGCAGUACUGCGGUAGAUCUGAGGGCCGGGGAGGUGGGGUUGCUGUGGUCUAUAGGAGUUCUUUCUCUCUCACCAAGCGCCCUGUCCAGAUGGCGAAUGGUCUGGAGUGUCUUCAUCUUGUGCUGGGCCAAGGAGACAGACUGGGAAUACUGUUGGUGUACCGCCCACCUUGCUGCCCAACGGCUUCCCUAGCUGAGCUGACAGAGAUAGUCUCGGAGGUAUUGUUGAGGUCCCCUAGACUUGUGGUACUGGGGGACUUCAACAUUCAUGCCGAGACUGUCUUGUUUGGGGCGGCUCAGGACUUCAUGGCCUCCAUGACAACCAUGGGGCUGUCUCAAAUUGUUACUGGCCCGACGCAUGUAUCAGGACAUACUCUUGAUUUGAUCUUCGCCACUGGUCAUGGAGAUGGUGAUCUGAGGGCGGGGUAUUUUUCAUCUACUCCGUUGUCAUGGACAGAUCACCGCUUGCUGAGUUUUGGACUUACGACAACCCUUUCCCUCUGCAGAGGUGGGGGACCUAUUAAGCUGGUCCGCUCCCGGAGGCUUAUGGAUCCUGUAGCUUUCCAGACGGCUCUGGGAGUCUUUCCGGCUGAUAGUACUGGCGCUCCUGUCGAGGCCCUGGUUGACCUGUGGAAUAUGGAGAUGACCCGGGCCAUUGACACGAUCGCUCCCGCGCGCCCCCUUCAGUGCAGAACUCAUACAGCACCGUGGUAUACCCCGGAGCUGAGAGUGAUGAAGCAAGAGAGAAGGAGGCUAGAGUGCAGAUGGAGGCGAACUCCUGACGGAUGUAGUCAUGCUUUGGUAAGUGCUUCCACUAAGAUGUAUGUAAAAGCGGUUAGGGCGGCAAAAAAGUUUUAUUUUGCUGCCACCAUUAGAUCAUCUCUUUGCCGCCCAGCGGAGCUGUUUAGGGUAGUACGUGGGCUGUUACAUUCUGGCUGUCACGAUACUAAAGAAACAUCGGAAGCCCGCUGUAACGAAUUUGCGGAGCACUUCCAGGACAAGAUUGCAUGCAUCCGUCGGGACUUAGACUCUGAUGUUAUAACAGAAUCCAUUGAGGUGUCCAGAGCGCGGCCUUGUCCUUCAUUAUUGGAUGAGUUUCAGUUGGUGCAGCUCGAGGAAGUGGACAAGGUGCUUGGAAUGGUGCGGGCGACCACAUCUGCUCUGGACCCUUGCCCAUCUUGGCUGGUGAAGGCUGGCAGGACCGAAACCACCGGCUGGGCCAAAGAAGUGAUAAAUGCCUCCUUGAGAGAGGGAGUAGUCCCUGGUAGUCUCAAGGAGGCAGUAGUGAGACCUCUGUUAAAGAAACCUUCUUUGGACCCAGAUGUUCUUAACAACUAUAGACCGGUGGCGAAUGUCCCUUUCUUGGGCAAGGUUUUGGAGCGGGUGGUCGCCGGUCAGCUCCAGGCGCUCUUGGAUGAAACCGAUUAUCUGGAUCCGUUUCAAUCCGGUUUUAGGUCCGGUUUGGCACUGAAACAGCCUUGGUCGCCCUGUAUGAUGACCUUUGUCGGGAGAGGGACAGAGGGAGUGUGACUCUGUUGACUCUCCUUGAUCUCUCAGCGGCGUUUGAUACCAUCGACCUUGGUAUCCUUCUGGGGAGACUCGCGGAGUUGGGAGUUGGGGGCACUGCUUGGCAGUGGUUCUGCUCCUACUUAGCGGAUCGUCGCCAGAAGGUAGUGCUUGAACCUACCCGUUCACUUUGUUCAGUAUCUAAGGCCCACCUCCGGGUACCGUCUCACCAGGAUGCCCGGAGGAUUGUUACCAGAUCUAGGGCCUUUUCUGUAGUGGCCCCCGAAUUGUGGAACAGCUUACCUGAAGAGAUACGCCUGGCGCCUACGGUGCUUUCUUUUAGGCUCCAGGUUAAGACCUGGCUGUACUCCCAGGCUUUUUAAUGUUUUUAAUGUUUAUGUCUACGCUUUAUUUUAAUAUUGUUGUUGAUAUAUGUGAUUGAUUUUAUUAUAAUAUUGUAUUUUUAAUCUGUUUUGUACACCACCCAGAGAGCUAUUAGCCAUGGGCGGUCUAAAAAUGAAACAAAUAAAUAAAAAUAAAUAAAUAUAAUCCUGCUAUAAGUUCUUCAACACAAACUGCUGCCUGAAGCUGACUAUUGAAGCUGUUUCGUGUAUCCAGCCUAGUUGGAACUGUACAUUCUGCCCCAUCCGUGGCCGUGUGCAAAGCCUGUUUGGAACUGUGCAUUCUGCCCCAUCCGUGGCCGUGUACCAAGGCUGUUUGAAAUUGUACAUUCUGCGUAUACUCAGGCUGUCUGGAAUUGUACAUUCUGCCCCAUCCGUGGCCGUGUACCAAGGCUGUUUGAUCUGUAUAUUCUGCCCUAUCCGUGGCCGUGUACUUAGCCAUCUGAGCCGGUGCAUUUUGCCCCAUCCGUGGCCGUGUACUGAGCCUGUUCGGGUCUGUACAUUCUGCCCCAUCCGUGGCCGUGUACUGAACCCCCUAGAAAAUAUAUGAUGGCGGAACAGCCAGCGACAACUCAGGCAACCAAGCCGAAACAAUCUAAGGCGGCCAAGCAUAAGCACACCAAAGCGGUUGCCAAAACUAAACAUCUAUCCAGCCACAGCACAACCAAGCAGCCACGCUACGUCUCUGUUCCGGUUUCCGAGGGGGCGGGCCAGGAACAGUUAACGAAUCUAUUUCACUCUCCGACUGCUUCCUCCGAGGAGGAGGACUUUGCUGGGUUUCCUGACCAACCAGCAGCCAGCCACCCUCCUCCCGUAUUACCACCUAGGGCUUAUUCAUCUUCCCAGCCUGCUGAGCCGUCCAUAACGUUGCCUCUACAAGCGCAACCAUCUACCUCACCAGGGCUGCAGCUGUCUCAUGAGUUCAUAUCACAACUACAAGACAUGCUGUUGUUCUUCACUCAAACACAAUCACCGUCACAAGUCCCCGCCGUUCCUCAGCGCAGUGUGGACCACUAUGUACGCAAUGAGGCAGAUCCAUCAUGCUCUCCAAAUCCUUUUGACAUUGCCAGGGGCAGGUUUGUUGAUGACGUUUCUUGUUGGGAGGAGUCACCAUUUGCUGUGCAAGACGAAGGAGACGAAUGGAGUGAUCAUUCGGAACAUGAGGAGGAUACAUCUUAUCGCCUGUUUGAUGCCUUAGAUUAUCAGCCCCUUGCUCGCAGAGUAUUGAACACCCUUGGUCUCCAAUCUACCCAACCUGCAGCUGCCACUCCCGCUAUUAAAGGGGCCAGGGUCUUGAAAUCCCCCACACCAGCAGAGCACUACCUUCCUGUGCCAGAUCCUGGACGAAUGGUCUCAUCCAUUACAAACACGCUGUUUUAACGCCCUUGCGGACAGACUUUACUCUUUGGCUCCGGACUUUACAAGCAGACUGGCCGUCCCUGGCAUAGACGAGCCGCUCUCCAGAUCCCUUUUGCUGAGGGAAGGAGAUUCACAUUUAAAGGACGCCACUGAGCGGAGGCUGGACUUUGCCUUCUCAAGAAUCAUGAGGCCACCACUUUCUCCAUGCGAGCCUCUGCAUCAGCUUCCAUCUUUUCCAGGGCAGCAAUGAUGUGGUUGGAUGACCUCUUAGAUGAUCCUAAUCCCAAUCCUGUCUCUCUGAGGAGGUCACUGAUGAAAUUGCGCAAGACAGCGGCGUUUGUGGCUGAUGCCACCUUGGACGCAAAUCAGCUGGGAACACGAGCUAUGGCAGCUCAGGUAGUCGCUCGAUGGACCCUCUGGCUUCGUCACUGGCAAGCGGACUCUGCAGCCAGAGUUAAUUUAUCAAGGGCACCUUAUUCCGGCUCAUUACUCUUUGGCGAGGAAGCCCUAAAGGCAGUGCUUGUUGACCCCAAGGAUGCUCGAAAGCCUGUCUUGGCCACUGUCAGGAAUGUUGAUCGCAGGCCUUUCAGACGUUUCACCUCAUACCGCACGACCCAGCCCUUUCGAGGAACGCGGCCCGGGGGACGAGGCCGCGAUUUCCGAACCUAUGAUUUCCGUCCCUCCAGGGGAGUCUGGAACAGACUUUUCCCAGGCAGAGGUCAGUACCAGGGGCGCAGAGGUACCUCAACGUCCUCAUAUAGGGGAGGGUCUCGCCAGCACAGACGGUACUGACGCGAUACCGGUUGGGGGCAGACUGCUUCUGUUUGGAGACCAUUGGCUGUGUCUGACUCAGGUCGCCUGGAUCAAAGAUCUUUUUUGUUAUUUAUUUAUUUAAUUACAUUUCUAGACUGCCCUAUAGCAGAAAGCUCUAUGGCUAUGCACUAGAGUUUUCGGCAAUCCCUCCGGACAGAUUUCAUCCCUCCCCUUGUCCCAGGGCACCAGCCAGGCACUGCAUCAUGCAGACAGCCAUACAUCACCUCUUGGACACAGCGGCGAUAGAGCCAGUCCCUACAACAGAGAGGUCGGAAGGGGUGUACUCCCUCCUAUUUGCUGUGCCCAAACGAGAUCUGUCAUGGAGGGCGGUGUUGGACCUCAAGUUCAUCAACCGUUUUGUAAAGUAUCGCAGGUUCAAAAUGGAAUCCCUCCACUCCAUUACAGAAAGCCUUCAAGAAGGAGACUUCCUGGCUUCUAUCGACCUAAAGGAAGCGUAUCUCCAUGUGCCUAUUUGCAUAGCCCACAGAAAAUUCCUUCGGUUUGCUUUCGGCCCCCAGCAUUUUCAAUAUUGAGCGAUGCCGUUUGGCCUCUCAUCUGCCCCGAGAGUAUUUACCAAGGUGCUACUCAUACUAGUGGCUUACCUCCGGCUUCAAGGGGUCCAUAUCUACCCCUACUUGGACAAUUUUUUAAUACGGGCGAGUUCCAGGGAGCUGGCUCAUCACCAUCUAACGCUCACGCUCCAUGUCUUGCAGGCCUACGGCUGGUAGUCCAUUUCAACAAAAGUCAUCUCCAACCAACCCAACGCCUACAACAUCUAGGGGCGAUGUUGGACACCCUGCAGGCGACGGUGUUCCUGUCUCCAGACCGCAUAACUGCUAUCACAGACAUCGCACGGUCUCUGAUGCACCACGCAACCGCAGACAUCAUGCUUCUAGCCAGGGCUCUCGGAAUGUUGGUGUCCACCAUCCAUAUUGUGCCAUGGGCUCAAGCUCAAACUCGCCAACUCCAGUGGGCUUUGUUGCCGUUUCAGCAGGACAUUGCCAGGUGAAAUCAUCGAGCAAUUCCCCUGAGCCCCGCACUGCGUCUUUCAUUCCGCUGGUGGACGAGGGUCCAACAUCUCACCCAGGGCACCCCGUUCAGAGAACCCCGCAGGACUGUUAUCACCACAGAUGCCAGUCUCCUCGGCUGGGGAGCCCACUGCAACUCCCAGUUCGUUCAGGGGGUUUGGACUACAGCAGAGCAGACUCAGAGCAUCAAUUGGCUAGAACUGAAGGCUGUCCACUUAGCUCUGCUCCAUUUUCAGUCUCUGUUCCACUUGGACCAUGUUCUCAUUCGAACGGACAACACGUGUGCCAAAUCUCAUUCAAACAGACAAGGGGGGACCAGGUCCCGUCCUCUGCAGAACCUAUUCGACUGGGCAGAGCAACAUCUGCAAUCCUUAAAAGCAGAACAUCUCAGAGGAAUUUGGAAUGUGACAGCAGACUGGCUCAGCAGACAACAGGUCUUUCCGGGAGAAUGGAAACUUCAUCCGACCAUUUUCUAUCUUCUCCAGUGUCGGUUCGGUGUCUUCUCAAUCGAUCUAUUUGCCUCCAGUCGCAAUUGCCAGUUACCCAGGUACUUCGCUCGAUACCUGGACACGACAGCGGAAGCGGUGGAUGCCCUGUCGCUACCGUGGCCGGAUGGCUUAUUGUACGCCUUCCCUCCAAUACCACUGUUAGCCAGAACCUUGAGAAAGGCGCGACGCGAGAGGACCAAGCUGGUUCUGAUAGCUCCAUAUUAGCCCCGUCGACCGUGGUUCUCGGAUCUCCUUGCCAUGUCAGUGAUGGACCCUUGGACGCUCCCAGUCAGGCCAGACGUCUUAUCCCAGGGCCCAAUAUUGCAUCAGGAUCCCAAUUGGCUCAAGCUAACAGCAUGGCUUUUGAAUGGGGACAUUUAAGGUCUGCUGGCCUGUCUGACGCUGUUAUUGACAUUAUCUUGGCCUCGAGACAACCAUCCACCACCCGUAUAUAUCAACAUACUUGGGUGGCAUUCUCCAGGUGGUGUCAGUCCCAGCACCUCGAUCCUUCCCAGGCCACAAUACAACAGGUGCUGCAAUUCCUUCAUAGGGGCCUCCUGAUGGGACUUAGACCCAACACGUAGACAUGCGUCCACUCUGUCGUCCAUUCUCUCAGUGUCCUCUGCUGGUGCUCCUAUUGCCUCGCACCCGUUCAUCAGACGUUUUCUGAGGUGAACCACGUUACACUCACUGGCUGUAUUCCAUCAUUUUCCCUCAUGGAGUUUGUCGAAGGUCCUACAGGCUUUACAACGCCCUCCGUUUGAGCCCCUUAGGACUGUGCCUUUAUGUCUGUUGUCAUUCAAGGUCCUGUUCCUGAUCGCGAUCACCUCUGCGAGACGAGUUUCGGAACUGGGCGCAUUGUCUUCUGCCCGCCAUCUCUGUGUCUUUCACAAGGACUCUGUUGUGCUGAAGACUGAUCCUUCCGUCCCAAGGUCAAUUCAGUUUUCCAUUGCAACCAGGACAUUGUUCUUCCUUCAUUUUGUCCGAAUCCUACCCAUCCUCUAGAGAAGGCUUGGCAUUCAUUGGAUGUUCGGAGGGCUCUCAAGACCUACCUGUCUAGGACCCAGGAUAUACAACGAACUGAGUCUUUGUUUGUAUCCUUUCAUCCACGUUCUAUGGGGCAUAAAGUAGCUAAUUCCACCUUAUCCCGCUGGUUGCGUGCAUGUAUUACCUUAGCCUAUGAGUCCCUUAAGCUUCCAGUUCCAGCUAGUAUAACAGCUCAUUCCACUAGGUCAGCGGCCACUACGGCUGCUUUUGCUACCAACGCUCCUGUUGCUGAUAUUUGCAGAGCUGCUGUUUGGUCUACCCCACACUCGUUUAUAAGGCAUUACAAAAUAGAUCGUUAUGCCUCUGCCGAUGCCUCUUUUGGCAGACGAGUGUUGCAACAGGUUCUUAAUGAUGAUUAGGAUGUGGGUGGUCCCUCCCUGUUAUGGGCUGCUUUGGUACAUCUCGCUUGAUGGCAGUCCUCCUAUGGAAAAUGGACCAUUGGUCUCAUCUGAAGGGUGAUUUUCAUAGGAGGACUGCCAUCACGACCCUCCCAGUUGGAGGAUACCUAGAUAUUUUUUGGGUUUUUUUCAUAUAUUCCUGUUACGCUAUUAUAUUAGAUUUACUAGUGAAGUCAAGACUGCUAUUAAUGUUAUAUCGCUACGUUAGAGUCAUAUUAUUAUGAUUAUUGCUAUUGUGUUAUGUCUUUGCUGGUAGGCCCGUUGGCCUUUUCUCCUGCAGUUUUAGAUAUCUCCCUUUGGACUCGCUGUGAAUGAACUGGAGAGUGGGAGGGGCCUGACGCCCCUAGUCUUGACUUCAAAAACGUUCUUGCCUUCGGACGAUAGGUGGAGCUAUAACCGCUUGAUGGCAGUCCUCCUAUGAAAAUCACCCUUCAGGUGAGACCAAUGGUCCAUUUUCACUGGGAUUGUCAAAUGAUGUCUGUGGCAUGCAGUGUUUUCUACCAGGUUCAAGAUUACCUGAGGCGGUUUGAAAGUAUACCAGAUAUGCUAGAAUUGGAUCAUCUGACUGUUUCAGGCGAUGUCACAUUUGG
Rhineura floridana is the source of this 10555-nucleotide RNA transcript. It is a transcript of the gene named UDP-glucose pyrophosphorylase 2, with no coding region annotated. The transcript is spliced from 2 exons. NCBI's taxonomy places the organism in Eukaryota, Metazoa, Chordata, Lepidosauria, Squamata, Rhineuridae. The record is from RefSeq and is a predicted model, not a curated record.